RNAcentral lists this ribosomal RNA (497 nucleotides) under uncultured bacterium. RNAcentral's name for it is "partial 16S ribosomal RNA". It matches the Rfam family "Bacterial small subunit ribosomal RNA", at positions 28 to 507 of the family's 1533-position model. The record is from RNAcentral.
GAUGAACGCUGGCGGCGUGCCUAAUACAUGCAAGUCGAGCGAACAGACGAGGAGCUUGCUCCUCUGACGUUAGCGGCGGACGUGUGAGUAACACGUGGAUACCCUACCUAUAAUACUGGGAUAACUUCGGGAAACCGGAGCUAAUACCGGAUAACAUGUUGAUCCGCAUGGUUCAACAGUGAAAUACGGUCUUUCUGUCACUUAUAGCUGGUUCCGCGCCGCAUUAGCUAGUUGUUAAGGUAACGGCUUACCAAGGCAACGAUGCGUAGCCGACCUGAGAGGGUGGUAGGCGGCACUGGAGCUGAGACGCGGUCCAGACGCCUACGGGAGGCAGCAGUAGGGAAUCGGACGCAAUGGGCGAAAGCAUGACGGAGCAACGCCGCGUGAGUGGAGAAGGUGUUCGGAUCGUAAAAAUCUGUUAUUAGGGAAGAACAGAUGUGUAAGGAAAUGUGCACGUCUUGACGGUAACUAGUCAGAAAGCAACGGCUAACUACGUG